AGAGUUUGAUCAUGGCUCAGGACGAACGCUGGCGGCGUGCCUAACACAUGCAAGUCGAGCGGGGAACUUCGGUUCCCAGCGGCGGACGGGUGAGUAACACGUGGGUAACCUGCCUUGUAGAGGGGGAUAGCCUUCCGAAAGGAAGAUUAAUACCGCAUAACAUUAUGCUUUCGCAUGAGAGUAUAAUCAAAGGAGCAAUCCGCUACAAGAUGGACCCGCGGCGCAUUAGCUAGUUGGUGAGGUAACGGCUCACCAAGGCGACGAUGCGUAGCCGGCCUGAGAGGGUGAACGGCCACAUUGGAACUGAGACACGGUCCAGACUCCUACGGGAGGCAGCAGUGGGGAAUAUUGCACAAUGGGCGAAAGCCUGAUGCAGCAACGCCGCGUGAGUGAUGAAGGCCUUCGGGUUGUAAAGCUCUGUCUUCUGGGACGAUAAUGACGGUACCAGAGGAGGAAGCCACGGCUAACUACGUGCCAGCAGCCGCGGUAAUACGUAGGUGGCAAGCGUUGUCCGGAUUUACUGGGCGUAAAGGAUGCGUAGGCGGAUGCUUAAGUCAGAUGUGAAAAUCCCGGGCUUAACUUGGGAACUGCAUUUGAAACUGGGUAUCUAGAGUGCGGGAGAGGAGAGUGGAAUUCCUAGUGUAGCGGUGAAAUGCGUAGAGAUUAGGAAGAACACCAGUGGCGAAGGCGACUCUCUGGACCGUAACUGACGCUGAGGCAUGAAAGCGUGGGGAGCAAACAGGAUUAGAUACCCUGGUAGUCCACGCCGUAAACUAUGAAUACUAGGUGUGGGAGUUGUCAUGACUUCCGUGCCGCAGUUAACACAAUAAGUAUUCCGCCUGGGGAGUACGGUCGCAAGAUUAAAACUCAAAGGAAUUGACGG
This 883-nucleotide ribosomal RNA is filed under the name uncultured bacterium. Its description in RNAcentral is "bacterial SSU rRNA". It matches the Rfam family "Bacterial small subunit ribosomal RNA", at positions 8 to 916 of the family's 1533-position model. The record is from RNAcentral.